GACAGAGGCCCCAAGCGUUAGGCGGAAUCACUGGGCUUAAAGCGUGUGUAGGCGGACGCCUAAGUGUCUUGUGAAAUCCCACGGCUCACCCGUGGAACUGCUGGGCAUACUGGGCGUCUUGGGCCAACUAGGGGCAGCCGGAACAAGCGGUGGAGCGGUGAAAUGCGUAGAUAUCGCUUGGAACGCCGAAGGUGAAAACAGGCUGCUGGGGUUGCGCCGACGCUGAGACACGAAAGCCAGGGGAGCAAACGGG
RNAcentral lists this ribosomal RNA (253 nucleotides) under uncultured bacterium. RNAcentral describes it as "partial 16S ribosomal RNA". It matches the Rfam family "Bacterial small subunit ribosomal RNA", at positions 524 to 776 of the family's 1533-position model. The record is from RNAcentral.